RNAcentral lists this ribosomal RNA (505 nucleotides) under uncultured bacterium. RNAcentral's name for it is "bacterial SSU rRNA". It matches the Rfam family "Bacterial small subunit ribosomal RNA", at positions 32 to 512 of the family's 1533-position model. The record is from RNAcentral.
AAUCAACGCUGGCGGCGUGCCUCAGACAUGCAAGUCGAACGCGAAAGGCUCCUUCGGGGGCCGAGUAGAGUGGCGCACGGGUGAGUAACACGUAGGUAAUUUGCCUUUGGGUGGGGAAUAACAGUCGGAAACGACUGCUAAUACCGCAUAAUGCAGCGGCUCGACAUCGAGACAGUUGUUAAAGCGGGGGAUCGCAAGACCUCGCGCCUGAAGAGAAGCCUGCGGCAGAUUAGCUAGUUGGUAAGGUAAUGGCUUACCAAGGCGACGAUCUGUAACCGGCCUGAGAGGGCGGUCGGUCACACUGACACUGACAUACGGGUCAGACUCCUACGGGAGGCAGCAGUCGGGAAUUUUGGGCAAUGGGCGAAAGCCUGACCCAGCAACGCCGCGUGAAGGAUGAAAUUUUUCGGAAUGUAAACUUCGCAAGAACGGGAAGAAUAAGUAGAAGCUAAUAUCUUCUAUGAUGACGGUACCGUUUGUAAGCUCCGGCUAACUCCGUGCCAGC